UCCCUGAUGGUCUAGUGGUCAGGACUCGGUGCUCUCACCGCCGCGGCCUGGGUUCAAUUCCCGAUCAGGGAA
Molecule: transfer RNA, 72 nt
Filed under: Danionella translucida
Lineage: Eukaryota; Metazoa; Chordata; Actinopteri; Cypriniformes; Danionidae
Also listed under: 1 other name
Rfam family: tRNA
About the family: Transfer RNA (tRNA) molecules are approximately 80 nucleotides in length. Their secondary structure includes four short double-helical elements and three loops (D, anti-codon, and T loops).
Source: Rfam by way of RNAcentral